GAGCCAGCCGUCUAAGGUGGGAUAGAUGAUUGGGGUGAAGUCGUAACAAGGUAGCCGUAUCGGAAGGUGCGGCUGGAUCACCUCCUUUCUAAGGAA
Molecule: ribosomal RNA, 96 nt
Filed under: Enterococcus cecorum
Lineage: Bacteria; Bacillati; Bacillota; Bacilli; Lactobacillales; Enterococcaceae
Description: partial 16S ribosomal RNA
Rfam family: Bacterial small subunit ribosomal RNA
Source: RNAcentral